CAAUAGCAUAUAUUAACGUUGUUGCAGUUGAAAAGCUCGUAGUUGAACUUUUGGUAGGAGCGACCUGGCCUUGGGCGCAUGCCCUUGUUUGCCGUGUGUCGUAUCUGGCCAUCCUUUUCUUCUUUUUGGAAGGAAUCUUUUACUGUGAGUAAACUGGAGUGCUCAAAACAAGACGUUUGUUUGGUACAUUAAAGCAUGGAAUAAUAAGAUAGGACCUGGUUACUAUUUUGUUGGUUUGCAUAGCUAGGUAAUGAUUAACAGGGACAGUUGGGGGUAUUCGUAUUUAAUUGUCAGGGGUGAAAUUCUUGGAUUUAUGAAAGACGAACGACUGCGAANGNAUUUACNAAGGAUGUUUNCAUUA
This 361-nucleotide ribosomal RNA is filed under the name uncultured eukaryote. Its description in RNAcentral is "partial 18S ribosomal RNA". It matches the Rfam family "Eukaryotic small subunit ribosomal RNA", at positions 592 to 975 of the family's 1831-position model. The record is from RNAcentral.